GUGACUUCCAUCCUCCCGAAAGAUGAGCAUGUGCUCAAGUUCUUUCUCCUCAUCACAAAGUGGACUGUCAACAAUCCAGCGGAAAAAGGUUGAGGAAAUUUGUCAUACACCUCAACCGCACAAGAAACACAAGAAUGAGCCAGUGCACCAUGUCAGCAUCAUUCCGUGGUUGAAUCCAUCCAUGGCACAUCUCUGCAUCAGAGCUUCCUCCAUUUUGCUUCCUUUCGGUAGGUGAUUGAUUCCUUUCGUCUGUAUAACCCGUGUCACAUCAGUCCGAUACAGGAGGCAGAUGCUUGGACUCUUCAGCUACAAGCUGGCCAUGAAAG
RNAcentral lists this long non-coding RNA (326 nucleotides) under Musa acuminata (dwarf banana). RNAcentral's name for it is "long non-coding RNA (MACU_LNC003404)". The record is from RNAcentral. Lineage: Eukaryota; Viridiplantae; Streptophyta; Magnoliopsida; Zingiberales; Musaceae.